GUCUUCAGCCAUACCACCCUGAGCAUACUUGUUUUCGCCUGAUCUCGGAAGAUAAGCAGGGUUUGGCCUGUUUAGUUCUUGGAUGAGAGAAUAAACAAGUAGAUGAAUGGG
This 111-nucleotide ribosomal RNA is filed under the name Microcebus murinus (gray mouse lemur). The record is from RNAcentral. Lineage: Eukaryota; Metazoa; Chordata; Mammalia; Primates; Cheirogaleidae.